This 484-nucleotide ribosomal RNA is filed under the name uncultured bacterium. RNAcentral describes it as "partial 16S ribosomal RNA". It matches the Rfam family "Bacterial small subunit ribosomal RNA", at positions 30 to 507 of the family's 1533-position model. The record is from RNAcentral.
AUUGAACGCUGGCGGCAGGCCUAACACAUGCAAGUCGAGCGGAUGAAGGGAGCUUGCUCCUGGAUUCAGCGGCGGACGGGUGAGUAAUGCCUAGGAAUCUGCCUGGUAGUGGGGGAUAACGUCCGGAAACGGGCGCUAAUACCGCAUACGUCCUGAGGGAGAAAGUGGGGGAUCUUCGGACCUCACGCUAUCAGAUGAGCCUAGGUCGGAUUAGCUAGUUGGUGGGGUAAAGGCCUACCAAGGCGACGAUCCGUAACUGGUCUGAGAGGAUGACCAGUCACACUGGAACUGAGACACGGUCCAGACUCCUACGGGAGGCAGCAGUGGGGAAUAUUGGACAAUGGGCGAAAGCCUGAUCCAGCCGUGCCGCGUGUGUGAAGAAGGUCCUCGGAUUGUAAAGCACUUUAAGUUGGGAGGAAGGGCAGUAAGUUAAUACCUUGCUGUUUUGACGUUACCAACAGAAUAAGCACCGGCUAACUUCGUG